RNAcentral lists this ribosomal RNA (775 nucleotides) under Chamalycaeus everetti. RNAcentral's name for it is "eukaryotic LSU rRNA". It matches the Rfam family "Eukaryotic large subunit ribosomal RNA", at positions 402 to 960 of the family's 3401-position model. Lineage: Eukaryota; Metazoa; Mollusca; Gastropoda; Architaenioglossa; Cyclophoridae. The record is from RNAcentral.
AAACCGCCUAGAGGUAAACGGGUGGAUCCGCAAAGUCGGCCCGCGAAAUUCAGCUCGGAAGGCCCGGUCGCGGGCGGUGGGUUUUAAGAGAUCUCUCGUGGACUCUCCCGCUGCUCGACGCCGGUCGGACGUGUGCACUUUUCGUGGGCAGAGCGCCACGACCGGUUUUCGGGUGGUCAGAAGGCGGCGAGGAAGGUAGGUGGGCGCUUCGGCGUUUGCUGUUAUAGCCUCGCCUGUCCCGAUCCGCUCGGAGACCGAGGAGCCGCCGCUUGGCGCCUGGCUACCCUGCUCUCCUGGAGGAUUCGACUGGCAGAGACUGGGAAACCGUGUCUGCCGACCGUCUUUCCGGACGGACGGGGGUGCUCUUGAGCCUUGCCAAGCACAGGGUCGGUGGCGAAUCGGUCGGCACUCCACCCGACCCGUCUUGAAACACGGACCAAGGAGUCUAACAUGCGCGCGAGUCGUUGGGUGGUACGAAACCCGAAGGCGAAGUGAAAGCGAGGGCCGUCCUUUCUUCGGAAAGCGACGUGCUCAGGUGGGAUCCUGCGUUUCUUAUCUGGCGCGGGCGCACCACCGGCCCGUCUCGUUCGCGUCGUCGAUGAGGCGGAGCAAGAGCGUGCACGUUGGGACCCGAAAGAUGGUGAACUAUGCCUGAGUAGGAUGAAGCCAGAGGAAACUCUGGUGGAGGUCCGCAGCGAUUCUGACGUGCAAAUCGAUCGUCAAACUUGGGUAUAGGGGCGAAAGACUAAUCGAACCAUCUAGUAGCUGGUUCCCU